GGUUUUAAAGCUCAUGCCAUGCCUCUCUCUGUCUUUAGAUCAGGAUGUCUUUCUCAGCUAUUGAUCCAGUGACUGUCUGCAUGUUACUAUGUUCUCUGCCAUGAUGGUAACAGAUAAUGAACUAUACCUCUGAAACUGGCUAUUUUUCUCUGCUGUGAUACUUUGCUGUAUAAAAGAAAUGGCUUCAAUAACCCUGUGAUACUUUGUUGUAUAAAAGAAAUGGCUUCAGUAACCACUCAAGAACUGGAAUUCUAUUGACUGCAAAACUCUUAUAAGGCAGGACUUCUGGGCAUGUCCACAGCAAAUAGAAGACUAAUUACUGGUGUUUCCGCACUAUGAAAUACUCAGCCACUUGGCCUGCUCCUUCAAAGAUGCCAGAUGUUAAGAGACCCAUGUAUCCUCAGAUAUUGGAUUCCCAGCCUGGAGAGAUUCUGUGUCUCAAACCAGCAUCUGACCACUUUGUAUAUUCCUUGGAUUAUUCUACCAAGAAGUGCUUUGGAGAUAGACAUUUGGCUCACAGAAAAGCAUCCUUUGUUUAUAGGCAAACAGGAAGUUUCCUUCUGAGAUGGAAUGCUUUAACCUUGGAGGAGACUGCCGUACAACAAGUACAUAUUCAAGAAAGUGCAUAUAUAGGUGUUGUGCUCUAUGAAUUUUCAUCAGACAAACUCCAUGUACCCAGCAUCCAGACAUGUUCAGAAAUAUGCACAGAUAUGUUGUAGAUGACAUCAAAUCCACAAUGAGGUAAGUCAUGAAACAAAAGUUGGGACUGCAAAGAGGAAGAAAUACACAUUAAGGAAAGAAAAGGGGGGAUGAAGAAAAGAGAGAGUGAUGGGAUGCACAUGCAAUGAACGCAGAAGGCGCUUCUUUGGGAAAAGAUUGGUGUCUUGUCCAAUCAUCGUCAGAGAGGCUUCCUCCAGCACCAGAUUGGAGCAGGUGCAGAGACUCACAGCCAGACAUGCAGAGAGACUGUCUUCAUUGGAGGUCUCAAUCAUGUCCCUUCUCUAAGAACUCAGGGUACCCUGCAGAAGUGGAGAAGAAAAGAUUGCAGGAAACAGAAUGGAGUCAGAGUGGAUGGAAGAUACUGGGAGAACACGGUCCACAGAACCAACUAAGCAGGUCUCCACAUGGGCUCACAGAGAUUGAAGCAGCAAGCACGGGGCCUGCAUGGCUCUGCACCAAGUCCUCUGUGUAUAUGCUAUGCCCAUUGGGCAGUGGGAGGGGGUAUAUCUCUGACUCUUUUGUCUGCUCUUGGGACUCCUUUCCUCCUAUUGGGUUGCUUUGCUCAACCCCUAUAUGAGGGCUUUUGUCUUGUCUUAUUGAAUCUUGUUUUGUCAUGUUUGGAUAUUGUGUCUUGGAGGCCUGCUCUUUUCUGAAGAGAAAUGGAGGGCAAGUGGAUCUGAGGGAGAGGGAAAGAGUGGAGGGAGGAGAAACUGUGAUUGGAAUGUAUUGCAUGAAAGAAGAAUUCAAUUAAAAGAUAGUCAGAGCUACCUAUCCUCUUUGUCGCUCUCAGGGACAUUAAUUUGAAAUAACUACUGUAAAGCUAUUUGGUUUACAUAUUACAAUUGUAAGCACCUGCAGAUGAUAUUUUACCUUUUUUCGUUCUGAUUCUAAAUUCCCAGGAAAAGGAUUGGCUGACUAAGCAUGUGUAUAGUAUAUAGAGUUAACCAUGACCAGGGAGAUAAACUCACAUAUUCACAUGUGUCUAUUAUGGAUCCAAUAUGCUCUCCAUUCUCAUCCCUUGUCAUUUCUUGCAUACUUUUCAUAUACUUCUGAUACUAAAUAAUGAUUGCUUACUAAAGACAUAAAGAAAAAUGGUAGAAGCUGUUAUUAUUGGUAAGAGACAUCUGAAUAAACAUUUGAAACCUUAUCUGCAUAGCAGAUAUAAAUAAUUAUGGCAUGUAGAGGAAAAGUACAACAUAUCUAGGCUAAUUGAUAAGGUGACAUAAUUUAAAUCAAUAUUGUGCUUAACAACAGUGUUCAAUACUAAUAAGCCAAAAAUUUAAUGACAUCUGAAUGAAAAUCCAUUUAAUUAAUUUGUUAUGUGUGUGCUAUUUGCAUAUGCUCAGAUAGGUAAAUGUGCAUAUGUGUGUAUGUGCACAUGAUGGACAGAGAUCCACACUGAGCGUCUUCCUCAUUCAUUCCCUGUCUUACUGUUCUUCACAGCAGAGUCUUUUACUGAACUUUGAGCUCAUUGAUUUGGAUAGGCCAACGAACUCCAAAAAUCUUCCUGUGUCCACACCUUCCACACUCUCAACAUACUCAUCAACAGUGAGAUUACAGAUGUGCAGAAACUCUCAUGUUUGUUUCUGUCUCUAUUAUUUGAAUGUCGUGGAUCUUAACUAAGGUGCUCAUGCUUGUUCAGUAGGCACUUUAAUAACUGCUAUCUCCCUUCCAGUAGUCUAGAUCUUUAGAAAUUUAAUUCUAAAACUGCUAUUACUAUUGUAUUGCAUCUCUCUUCUUUAACAUGGUUAAAAAGAGACAGUACACCACUCUGCCUCAACUAGACAGAUAGUAGAGAUUCAUUUGUCAAUAUAGCACUUAUCAGCUGCCUUUCUAUAUGUUAACAACUAGAACUAAUUGUUGAGGUAAUGAAUAAGUAAUACAGGAUUUAGGUAAUGUCAGGAAAGAUAAAUUAGCUCCCAGAAGUUAGAGAACAAUAAAGUGGAAUCCAGGUCUGAGGAGUUAGAAGAGAGCAAAUUCAUUUCAUACAUAAAAUAUUUUCAUUUAAUACUAUUCAAAAGUAGAGAUCAUUUUUAUGUGUUUGCAAUUUGCAAUAUUAGAGAUGGUAAGGAUUUUAGAUACAGAAAGAGGAUGGUUUGUGACUGUUUCAUGUAUUUCACAAUGAACAUUUUCAUUUUAUGAGUAUUUUGAAAAGUUAUUCUAUGGGUGAUUUUAUGAAAUGUGUUUUUACUAUAGGCAUUAAAUAUUUGUAAUAUACAUAAUAAAAAUAUAAAUUGAUUACCUCAUUGUUAAAACAUGUAUGCUAUUGUAUUCUGCUGAAAAUCACACAUUUUACUUGUGUAACACUUCUUUAAACAAUUUAAUUUAUGAGAAUAGAUACUAUGUGUUUAUCUUCAUGUACAAUGAAGUUUGAACUUUAAAUCAGUGAAGACCUCUUAUUUUGUAAAGAUGCUGAUUUAUUUUUGAAUUAUUUCUUUUAUUUUUAAGACUACAUUAAAAUUACAUCAUUUUCCCCUUCCCUUUCUUCCCUCCAAACUUUUCCAUACACCUCUCCUUGAUGUCUUUUAAAAUUCAUGGUAUCUUUUUAUUAUAAGUUGUUGUUACACGUAUGCAUACAUUCCUAAAAUUAACAUGAUGAGUUUCAAUAAGGUUAAUAGUAUGCAUAUUUUCAAUGCUAAUCACUUGGUUUUUAAUAAUAAAUUGAUAUGGUCUUCCCAAGAAAAGACUAUUUCUCUCACUCUCCGAAUUCUUUAGCUGCUUGUAGUUAAUUGCACAGAAUGGCUUCCUCCCCACCCCUGUGCACUUUUGCAUAUCUAUUGUUGUUGCUCUUGUUUAGCUCAUGUUUAUUUAGGAAGUUGAGACUUGAUGGGUGUGGCUCCUGGCAUCACAAGAUGACCCAAUUUCACACCAAACUCCCUGAUCCUCUGGCUCUUAUAGUCUUUCUUUCCCCUCUUCUGAACUGUUGCUGAGCUGCGGGUGUGGGAGUGUUUUGUAGAUGUGUUUAUUAGGACUGAUUUCACAACUCUGCAUUUUGUUUGGGUGUAGUUUCUGUUAUAAUCUCCUAUUGCAAAAAAAUCUCUUUUAUGAAGGGUGUUGACUAUACUUAUUUGUGGAUAUAAGAAUAAAUAUUUAGUUAGGAAUUAUACUGGUUUAAUAAAAUGAUAGUUGUAGGCUUUCUUUCAAAAUCCAUGAUUUUUCUAGUACUGAGUAGUUCACUAGGUUUCCAGUACCGGGCAUGGAUUUCCUCUUGUUGAGUGGGUCUUAAGUCCAAUUAGAGAGCUGUUGGUUACCACCAAGGUAUUCAAGCCACUACUACACCCUUAGCGUUAUCAUGACAUGCUUGCUGUGAUUCAUUGUCAUCAUAGCUGAGUAGGAAUGUCAGUUGCUUCUCUCUUUUCAAAGCUUGCUUGGAACCUUCUAAUACCAUGAAAAUUAGUCUGAAAGGCCCAGACCCUCACCCAGCCCCUGCUUUGGCAGAUAUAACAGGCUGCAGAAAAGACCCACCAAGAUGUAGGCCUCUGACUCAGUAACAUGUUCUUAGCCCACAACCUUGCCUGACCCUGCCCUAUUCACUAGGAAGCCAGAUAACCUCUGAAAGGCCAGGAUAAAGAAUACCCCCUCAGCAGACAAAAUAAGGCC
Non-coding RNA from Cricetulus griseus (Chinese hamster), 4320 nucleotides. The record is from RefSeq and is a predicted model, not a curated record. Lineage: Eukaryota; Metazoa; Chordata; Mammalia; Rodentia; Cricetidae.